Non-coding RNA from Schistosoma mattheei, 48 nucleotides. The record is from Rfam. NCBI's taxonomy places the organism in Eukaryota, Metazoa, Platyhelminthes, Trematoda, Strigeidida, Schistosomatidae.
AUCCAGCUGACGAGUCCGAAAUAGGACGAAACGCAGGUCAAGUUGGAU